RNAcentral lists this ribosomal RNA (253 nucleotides) under uncultured bacterium. RNAcentral describes it as "partial 16S ribosomal RNA". It matches the Rfam family "Bacterial small subunit ribosomal RNA", at positions 524 to 776 of the family's 1533-position model. The record is from RNAcentral.
CACGUAGGGUGCGAGCGUUGUCCGGAAUUAUUGGGCGUAAAGAGCUCGUAGGCGGUUUGUCACGUCUGCUGUGAAAUCCCGAGGCUCAACCUCGGGCCUGCAGUGGGUACGGGCAGACUGGAGUGCGGUAGGGGAGAAUGGAAUUCCUGGUGUAGCGGUGGAAUGCGCAGAUAUCAGGAGGAACACCGAUGGCGAAGGCAGUUCUCUGGGCCGUAACUGACGCUGAGGAGCGAAAGCGUGGGGAGCGAACAGG